Molecule: long non-coding RNA, 360 nt
Filed under: Monodelphis domestica (gray short-tailed opossum)
Lineage: Eukaryota; Metazoa; Chordata; Mammalia; Didelphimorphia; Didelphidae
Description: lncRNA (ENSMODG00000035021.2)
Source: RNAcentral
CUCCCCUAUUGAUGAAGAGAAUAAUGACUUGACAUUGCAUGUCUAUGUGGGGAAUAGAUCUAGUUCAAGAGCUUUAGAGAGAAGACAUUCUUCCUUUCUUCUUUGAGAGAGGACAUAUGCAUUCCAGACUCCUUUCUGGACUGACUCUGGGGAAGAAGAGAACAAAAAAUUUUGGAACAGAAGUAUCUUCCAAGAAACUGAAAAAUGACUUGGCUUUCCCAAUGGUUCAUCCUUUUCCACUUGGUACACAGCUGUUAAUUAUCAACUGAGGCCUCAUAGCUAUAUGGACUAUUAGAGCUGGAAAACACCUUUGGAGAACCUCUAGUUUAAUUAUGUCAUUUUAAAGAUGAAGAAAGUGAG